CACUCAUAGCCAUCCAGCAACACUCUGUGCAACUGAAAGUGCCUCCUCUCUGUAUUCCAUACUCAGUGAUUUGACUGCAGAUCAAAGGAUCAACAUAGCAUCAUUGCAUCUCCCUCAUCUCUAAGGGAUUAUAAAAACCCAUUUGAACUGGGAUGGGACUAGUCUCAAGCACAUGAGCCCAGAUGAGCACUACAAAAGAAGAAUGAAGAGUUGCUGUACUGGCCAUGAUGCAACUGGAAUACAUCCAAGAGUUCUCAUGAUGAAUGACAGAGUGUUUGAGUGAAAAGACAGGAAAUGUUAAGAAACGCUUCUCUGAGAAGCCAAUUUGAAAAUACAGAUGCGUAUAUUUUUACACCUCAUAUGUGCAAAAAGUUCAAUACCAUGUUGAGAAAAAAAUUAUAACUCUUCCACUGUCAUUGAAUUCCAAUUAUUUAAGGCUAGUUAUGCCUU
Molecule: long non-coding RNA, 450 nt
Filed under: Coturnix japonica (Japanese quail)
Lineage: Eukaryota; Metazoa; Chordata; Aves; Galliformes; Phasianidae
Description: lncRNA (ENSCJPG00005004654.1)
Source: RNAcentral